Heteronotia binoei (common prickly gecko) is the source of this 1754-nucleotide long non-coding RNA. RefSeq lists it as uncharacterized. The transcript is spliced from 2 exons. The record is from RefSeq and is a predicted model, not a curated record. Lineage: Eukaryota; Metazoa; Chordata; Lepidosauria; Squamata; Gekkonidae.
AUGUUGAAGAAGUGAGCCAAGAACAGAAUCUUCACUUGAGAACGCCUGAGAAUAGCAAUCACAGAGAUGGAGAAAGACAGGGGACUUCCCAAUCAUCAGAGAUACAAGAAGGAUACAGAAUUCACUUUUGGUUACAACAAAUUGAUCCAGUGAGGAGAGAUUCUCUCUUAGAGGACCAAAGUUUAACUGGACCAAAGUUUAACUGGUGGGAGAGAAGUAGUGGAGAGAGGGCGUGAUGAAAACUCGAUGCAGAGUUCUGAUGCUUUAAAGAUGAAGUCAGCCCAGAGCAAAAAGAAAUCUUAUAUAUGCCCACAGUAUGGGAGAAGUCUAAAUUCCAAUUAUUCCCUUUCAAGACAUCUACAACGAACCCACAAAGUAGAAAACCUGUACAGAUGCUCAAACUGUGGGGAAAGAUUUAACUCUAAGCAAGACCUUUCAGCACACAAAAAAUCACACGAAAAAGAGAAGCCAUGUGAAUGUGGAGAUUGUGGGAAAAGUUUUAGGAGCAAAAGGAAUCUUGCUGAACAUAGAAGAAUUCACACUGGAGAGAAGCCUUAUAAAUGCUCAGACUGUGGGAAAUGUUUUCGUACUAGCUCAGGGCUUUCAAAACACAAAAAAACCCACCGUGAAGAGAAGCCACACCAAUGUGUAGAGUGUGGGAAAAGUUUUAGGUUAAAACAUAAUCUUGUUCGACAUAAAAGAGUUCACACAGGAGAGAAGCCAUAUACAUGCUCAGAAUGUGGGAAAGCAUUCGGUUAUAAAUCUAGUCUUGAUCAUCAUUUAAAAUCUCAUUGAACAGAGAAACCAUACCAAUGCUUGAAAUGUGGGGAAAACUUCAGUCAGAAAUCACACCUUGUUGUCCACAACGAAACUCACAGUCGAGAGAAACCACAUACAAGCCUGCAGUGUGAUCAAUCCUUCCAUCAAGCGAGUGAAAUUUUGCUGCACAAGAAAGGGCAUACACGGAAGAAAUCCAAUCAUUGUUUGCAAUGCCAAAGAACCUUCCGUUGGCACUACCGGUAUCUUGCACACCAAAAAACCCACAUGGUUAAGGAGCCAAACAGGUGCUCAGAGUGUGGGAAGAACUUUUUGUGGGAAGGUGGCCUUAUGAAACACAUGAAAAAACAUGUCAGAGCUAGAUUAUGUGGACGUUUGGAAUGUCAAACAAACAACCCGUAACUAACUCUAAUCUUCAUAGACAGAAAGAAACCCCACCCGGGGGGUGGGGGGGGGGGAAUACAGCAGUGUCCCCAAUCUGGAGAAAGAUUUGUUCAGAAAUCAUUGCUUUUUCUACAGCAAAGGUUGAGUGUCAGAGAGAAGCCUCAGUUUCAAAAGUUCCCACAUGAAGACUCAUUACUUACCUAGACUUAUAAUGGAAAAAUCCAUGGACAGGAGGACUACCUCUGUCUGGUUGGGGGUGGGACUUUCUGAGGGAACUUUCAGCACUUCUGUCAUUAGGGAGUCUAAUUGCUUUAGCAGACUUCUAUCACAUCAGGGACAUUCAACUUUUUAAGUACUUUUCAGAAAUUGUCAAGCAUUUCUCAGGCCUGUAACAAAUAUUAUUUCAUAAUAAUGACAAGAAUUUUUAAACUUUUAUGUUCAUUUUUAUCUUCAUCGUGUUUUGUGCUGGAGGGUUGGCACCUUGCACUUUGGAACUUGGGGAGGGGUGUUUGUUUCAGAGCAGGGUGCUGCAUUGAGUUGUGAUGUGGUUCGACUCUUUUUAAAGCUAAAUAAAUGUUUUUAAUUUUGUUUUU